Molecule: ribosomal RNA, 983 nt
Filed under: Echinococcus oligarthrus
Lineage: Eukaryota; Metazoa; Platyhelminthes; Cestoda; Cyclophyllidea; Taeniidae
Description: large subunit rRNA
Rfam family: Bacterial large subunit ribosomal RNA (bases 654-941)
Source: RNAcentral
GGUUUUGUGAUCGUAUGAUAGGUUGUUUUGGUUUAUUUGCCUUUUGCAUCAUGCUUAACGGAAUUUUUUAAGUUAUGUUUUUUACCGAAAAGUUUUGAUCUUAGGUUUAAUUGUUUGGAACUGUUAUUAAGCUUGGGUAAGGUUUUUUAAAUUAAAUUUAUGUGGUGAUAAGUGAGUCGUAUAACUUUAUAACUGUUUGGUUGUUUUUUAUUUAGUGUUAUGUAUAUGGCUAUAAGGUCAUUUAUGUUUUUAUACUUUUGUGUUAUGUUUAUUGUUUGAUAAGGUUAUAAGUACCUAUUUUUUGUUAUAUUGUUGUAAAUAUAGUUUUUGGUUUUAAUUAUAUGUUAAUUAUUUUAACAACCGAUUGUUAUUAUAUUUGGUUAUUGUAAUUAUUGUUGAAUAAGUAAUUUUAUUAUGCUAUUUAUUUCUUGAAUUCUUUCCGUCUGUUUAUUAAAAACAUUUCUAAUUUGAAUCAUAGUUGGUAGUACCUGCCCAAUGUUAGUUAAUUAAUGGCCGCAGUAUAUUGACUGUGCUAAGGUAGCAUAAUUAAUUGCCUUUUAAUUGGAGGCUUGUUUGAAUGGUUUGACGUGAUGGAUAUAAAUAUUUGGUAUUUGUGUGAAAUUGAUUUUAAGGGUUUAGAAUCCUUAAUGGUUAAUAAGACGGAAAGACCCUAGGAUCUUUUGUUUUUGUUUGGGGUAAAUUUUGGUGUUUUAUGAAGAUUGUGACCCUUGAUAUGUUUUAAGUUGGUUUAUUGAUUUAAGUUACCCUAGGGAUAACAGUGUGAUAAUUGAUUAGAGAUCUUAUCGAAUUAAUUGUUUGCCACCUCGAUGUUGACUUAGGCUAAGGUUUUGGUGUAGUAGUUGAGAUUUAGGUCUGUUCGACCUUUGAGCCUCCAUGAGUUGAGUUAAGACCGGCGUGAGCCAGGUCGGUUCUUAUCUAUUGUAGAAGUUUAUCAGUACGAAAGGACAGUAAAUUUUUUUAUU